UGGGGAAUUUUGGACAAUGGGCGCAAGCCUGAUCCAGCCAUGCCGCGUGCGGGAAGAAGGCCUUCGGGUUGUAAACCGCUUUUGUCAGGGAAGAAAUCUUCUGAGUUAAUACCUCGGGAGGAUGACGGUACCUGAAGAAUAAGCACCGGCUAACUACGUGCCAGCAGCCGCGGUAAAUACGUAGGGUGCAAGCGUUAAUCGGAAUUACUGGGCGUAAAGCGUGCGCAGGCGGUUUUGUAAGACAGAGGUGAAAUCCCCGGGCUCAACCUGGGAACUGCCUUUGUGACUGCAAGGCUUGAGUGCGGCAGAGGGGAUGGAAUUCCGCGUGUAGCAGUGAAAUGCGUAGAUAUGCGGAGGAACACCGAUGGCGAAGGGCAAAUCCCCCUGGGCCUGCACUGACGCUCAUGCACGAAAGCGUGGGGAGCAAAACAGGAUUAGAUACCCUGGUAGUCCACGCCCUAAACGAUGUCAACUGGUUGUUGGGAAGGUUCCUUCUCAGUAACGUAGCUAACGCGUGAAGUUGACCGCCUGGGGAGUACGGCCGCAAGGUUG
RNAcentral lists this ribosomal RNA (552 nucleotides) under uncultured bacterium. RNAcentral describes it as "partial 16S ribosomal RNA". It matches the Rfam family "Bacterial small subunit ribosomal RNA", at positions 355 to 896 of the family's 1533-position model. The record is from RNAcentral.